UACGGAAGGGGCUAGCGUUGUUCGGAUUUACUGGGCGUAAAGCGCGCGUAGGCGGCGUGGCAAGUGGGGCGUGAAAGGCCUGGGCUCAACCUGGGAAUUGCGCUUCGGACUGCCAUGCUUGAGGCCGGGAGAGGGUGGUGGAAUUCCGAGUGUAGAGGUGAAAUUCGUAGAUAUUCGGAGGAACACCGGUGGCGAAGGCGGCCACCUGGCCCGGACCUGACGCUAAAGCGCGAAAGCGUCGGGAGCAAACAGG
RNAcentral lists this ribosomal RNA (253 nucleotides) under uncultured bacterium. RNAcentral's name for it is "partial 16S ribosomal RNA". It matches the Rfam family "Bacterial small subunit ribosomal RNA", at positions 524 to 776 of the family's 1533-position model. The record is from RNAcentral.